RNAcentral lists this ribosomal RNA (732 nucleotides) under uncultured soil bacterium. RNAcentral's name for it is "bacterial SSU rRNA". It matches the Rfam family "Bacterial small subunit ribosomal RNA", at positions 34 to 770 of the family's 1533-position model. The record is from RNAcentral.
CGCUGGCGGCGUGCCUAACACAUGCAAGUCGAGCGAGAAAAGGGUAGCAAUAUCCUGAGUAAAGCGGCGCACGGGUGAGUAACACGUGGGUAAUCUGCCCUGGAGUGGGGAAUAACACCGGGAAACCGGUGCUAAUACCGCAUACGAUCACGAUGUCUGCGGACGUUGUGAUGAAAGGAGCAAUUCGCUCCAGGAGGAGCCCGCGGCUGAUUAGCUAGUUGGUGAGGUAAUGGCUCACCAAGGCUACGAUCAGUAUCCGGUCUGAGAGGACGGUCGGACACACUGGAACUGAGACACGGUCCAGACUCCUACGGGAGGCAGCAGUGGGGAAUUUUUGGCAAUGAGGGAAACCCUGACCAAGCAACGCCGCGUGGAUGAUGAAGUCUCUUGGGACGUAAAAUCCUUUCGACGGGGAAGAAAGCCGCAAGGCUUGACGGUACCCGUAGAAGAAGCCCCGGCUAACUCCGUGCCAGCAGCCGCGGUAAUACGGGGGGGGCAAGCGUUGUUCGGAAUUACUGGGCGUAAAGGGCGCGUAGGCGGUUUGCUAAGUUGGAUGUGAAAACUUUGGGCUUAACCCAGAGCCUGCAUCCAAAACUAGCAGACUAGAGUUCUGGAGGGGGUAGCGGAAUUCCUGGUGUAGCGGUGAAAUGCGUAGAUAUCAGGAGGAACACCGGUGGCGAAGGCGGCUACCUGGACAGAAACUGACGCUGAGGCGCGAAAGCUAGGGGAGCA